GAAACGAUUUCAAAACAUUUCAAAACGCCCGCUUCCCUGCUCCUCUCUCUCUCUCUCUCUCUCUCUCUCUGGCGAUUCAGGAACGAUUUCACCGGAUCUGCUCCUCUCUCUGGUGAUUCAGGAACGAUUUCACCAGAUCUAUGAAGUUUCAACAGAUCGAUGAAGAUUCUGACCUCCUGGUUCGGUUUUCCGGCUUUUAUUGUCAUUUUGCAACAUUCGUCUAGGGAUGUGGAUGUGGAUGCUGGUGAUUGUGACAUUGUUCAAGUCAUUGAAAACAAUGGAGAUAUUUUAAAGCUUUUGCGCCUCACACAUGUAGGUGGAGGCUACAAAUCAGUUUUUAAAGGUGGUGAUAGAGUUGUGGAGAUUCCAAUUGAUGAGUCACACAGGUUCAUUUAUCAGCUCCCAGCUGUUCGUUUAACGGAUGAACAAGAUGGUCGAUUGAGAGGGUUUUGGUGAGUCACACAGGUUCAUUUUAAAGCUUUUUCCCCUCACACAUGUAGGAAAGAGAAGUAAAACGAUUCAUUGAAGAUCCACAUUUGUUUGUUUGUACAUUCACAGAAGGUGUGGGUUCUCAAUCAAGUGAUCUCAAGGUAAAAGAGAUAUUCAGUUACACUCGGGACGAGUUAACUACCGAAGACGUGUUAAUACUCGACUGUCACACUGUUUUAUGGUGACUAAGCGGAUUAUGGUUUUUGUUUGUUUUAGUUGACACAAUGGUAAGGAAGAGGAGAACUGAAGGUCCCAGUGGUGGUGAAAGCUCUAAGCCCCAGGAAGGAAGUGGUGCUCAAAGACAACCAGCAUAGCAGCAACAACAUUAGCAGCAGCAGCAAGGUGGCUAUCAGGGAAGAGGCUAGGGUGGUGGUUAUCAAGGGCGAGGGUAGCAGGGUGGUUACCAAGGCGGACACGGUGGCUAUCAAGGCGGACACGGUGGCUAUCAAGGCGGACACGGUGGCUACCAAGGUGGACAGCCUCAAGGGUGAAGAGGUUGGGCACAAAGGGGUUGACACGGUGGUCGAGGUGGCGGUGAUCCACAGCAGUAUGCUCCAAGAGGAACUGCGCCACCUCAGCGACGUGGUGGGCCUAGACCUCAGUAUUCUGGUGGACCUUCUAGGACGUCCGUUCCCGAGCUGUACCAAGCAACACAAGCUCCUCAACAGCCUGUGUCGACAUUGCAGCCAGCGACACCUGGAACACCAGUUGAAGUGCAUGCCGAGUCAUCAUCCACUAAGCAGAUGGUGGAUGAGUCAGCGGAUCAGUUGCAGCAGCUAUCAGUGCAGCAAGAAGAACCCAGCCAGUCUGUCGCACCUGCCUCCAGAAAAUCAUUGAGGUUUCCUUUGCGUCCGGGAAAAGGUCGCAUCAGAGAAAGUUGCAUUGUCAAAGCUAACCACUUUUUUGCUGAGCUGCCUGAUAAGGAUCUACACCAAUACGAUGUGACAAUCAAUCCUGAAAUGACAUCACGCAGUGUGAACCGAGCCGUAAUGGCACAGCUUGUGAAUGAGUCGAUUUUGGCUAUGUUUUAUUUUUAACAGACAUAAAAGAAAUUUAGUUUAACAGGAAACGGGUUGAAUGGAUUGAACGGUUCAUAGUCGCCCAAGUUUUUAUGUACCUGAUAGACACAUUGCAAGGAGGUGCUUCAAGAAGUUAUCUAUAAUCUUUCUUAAGAUAAAGUUAGAAGAUGGGCGUAGGGUUGAGUGCCUUCAAGCGUAAUGGUGUUGGGCCAGACUUGAUCAUUCAGAAUCUGCAGACGGUGACGAUAUAUCAGAGUGGAAUAACACGUGGUUGAAGCGAUUUCUGGUGGAUUAUAUGCUGCGAAUGUCACACUAUGACACUCUCACAAAGCUUGCUGAAAGCAGUAACUUACAGGAUCAUGUUGAUAUUGAGAUCUGUUUAUGAAGCCAAUAGUUAUUGAUGCUCUGCAUAAUAAGGAGGUAGCCCCUGCUCUAGCCUGGUAUGCUGAUAACAAGUCUAGGUUAAAGAAAUUCAUGGUACUUUUUAGAGUUAUAACUUGUAAUUGCUAUUGACAUAAGAAGGAUGCAAUAUGUUUGUUAUUUUGGUUUUUUCUUAUGUACAUUUUUGUUUGUAUUAUUGGUUAACUGAAUACACUGGAGCUUAAAUUUUCCACA
Helianthus annuus (common sunflower) is the source of this 2123-nucleotide long non-coding RNA. RefSeq lists it as uncharacterized. Lineage: Eukaryota; Viridiplantae; Streptophyta; Magnoliopsida; Asterales; Asteraceae. The transcript has 8 exons. The record is from RefSeq and is a predicted model, not a curated record.